CGUAACGCGUAUGCAAUUUGCCCAUAACUGGGGGAGUAGCCCGGAGAAAUCCGGAUUAAUACCCUAUAGUAUGUUGAGAAGGCAUCUUCUUAACAUUAAAGAUUUAUCGGUUAUGGAUGAGCAUGCGUCUGAUUAGCUAGUUGGUAAGGUAACGGCUUACCAAGGCUACGAUCAGUAGGGGGUCUGAGAGGAUGAUCCCCCACACUGGUACUGAGAUACGGACCAG
This 226-nucleotide ribosomal RNA is filed under the name uncultured bacterium. RNAcentral's name for it is "partial 16S ribosomal RNA". It matches the Rfam family "Bacterial small subunit ribosomal RNA", at positions 109 to 334 of the family's 1533-position model. The record is from RNAcentral.